UAUCAGCUGCGUAACUGACGGAUACGUGGGAUUACCCACAGGGAGCGCAGUCUUAGUAAGCCGACCGUCUGGGCAGCCGUU
Molecule: regulatory RNA element, 81 nt
Organism: Butyrivibrio sp. CAG:318
Lineage: Bacteria; Bacillati; Bacillota; Clostridia; Lachnospirales; Lachnospiraceae
Rfam family: ZMP/ZTP riboswitch aptamer (pfl RNA motif)
About the family: Previously known as pfl RNA. ZMP is also known as AICAR.
Source: Rfam